GGAAUAGAAAAUGGCACCAAUGAGAAAAAGAGAGGAUUUCAAGUCUCCCAAGCCCUAUAAAUUCAUGCUUUAGAAGGGAGUCAGCACUCUCGUUUGUGAUCCGCUUAGGUCUGUGAGGUACAAGGGUCCUGGCUCGAGCUUGCAAUAAACUCCUCGUGCAUUUACAUCGGACUCAACUCCUUGGUGGUCUUUGGGGACUUCGCGAUCUGGGCACAACACAGUCUUCUGCAGUGCAAGAAAGGAAUUGGAGGCCAGCUCACUGCAGCAGAUCACUCAAACCUGGAGCAGAGGCAGCAGGAGGACAAUGGCUGAGUAAACAGGAUCGUUUGUCUGAGUGGUUUGAAGGUUUCAUGGUGUAUUGGAGAAAUGCUGCCAACCUGGAAUAUAACACUGAGAAUAUUCACGUGGAAGCUGGGGUACAUCACCAAUUCAUGGCUCUGUGUGCUACUGAACUGGUGAACAAGAAGAGGAUCAUUAAAGCUGGUCAAAAUUGCGAAGUAGAAAAUCAGCUGCUCUGCUGUACACGGAG
This 529-nucleotide long non-coding RNA is filed under the name Fukomys damarensis (Damara mole-rat). Its description in RNAcentral is "lncRNA (ENSFDAG00000023844.1)". Lineage: Eukaryota; Metazoa; Chordata; Mammalia; Rodentia; Bathyergidae. The record is from RNAcentral.